Molecule: ribosomal RNA, 1498 nt
Filed under: Limosilactobacillus reuteri
Lineage: Bacteria; Bacillati; Bacillota; Bacilli; Lactobacillales; Lactobacillaceae
Description: partial 16S ribosomal RNA
Rfam family: Bacterial small subunit ribosomal RNA
Source: RNAcentral
GAUGAACGCCGGCGGUGUGCCUAAUACAUGCAAGUCGUACGCACUGGCCCAACUGAUUGAUGGUGCUUGCACCUGAUUGACGAUGGAUUACCAGUGAGUGGCGGACGGGUGAGUAACACGUAGGUAACCUGCCCCGGAGCGGGGGAUAACAUUUGGAAACAGAUGCUAAUACCGCAUAACAACAAAAGCUGCAUGGCUUUUGUUUAAAAGAUGGCUUUGGCUAUCACUCUGGGAUGGACCUGCGGUGCAUUAGCUAGUUGGUAAGGUAACGGCUUACCAAGGCGAUGAUGCAUAGCCGAGUUGAGAGACUGAUCGGCCACAAUGGAACUGAGACACGGUCCAUACUCCUACGGGAGGCAGCAGUAGGGAAUCUUCCACAAUGGGCGCAAGCCUGAUGGAGCAACACCGCGUGAGUGAAGAAGGGUUUCGGCUCGUAAAGCUCUGUUGUUGGAGAAGAAUGUGCGUGAGAGUAACUAUUCACGCAGUGACGGUAUCCAACCAGAAAGUCACGGCUAACUACGUGCCAGCAGCCGCGGUAAUACGUAGGUGGCAAGCGUUAUCCGGAUUUAUUGGGCGUAAAGCGAGCGCAGGCGGUUGCUUAGGUCUGAUGUGAAAGCCUUCGGCUUAACCGAAGAAGUGCAUCGGAAACCGGGCGACUUGAGUGCAGAAGAGGACAGUGGAACUCCAUGUGUAGCGGUGGAAUGCGUAGAUAUAUGGAAGAACACCAGUGGCGAAGGCGGCUGUCUGGUCUGCAACUGACGCUGAGGCUCGAAAGCAUGGGUAGCGAACAGGAUUAGAUACCCUGGUAGUCCAUGCCGUAAACGAUGAGUGCUAGGUGUUGGAGGGUUUCCGCCCUUCAGUGCCGGAGCUAACGCAUUAAGCACUCCGCCUGGGGAGUACGACCGCAAGGUUGAAACUCAAAGGAAUUGACGGGGGCCCGCACAAGCGGUGGAGCAUGUGGUUUAAUUCGAAGCUACGCGAAGAACCUUACCAGGUCUUGACAUCUUGCGCUAACCUUAGAGAUAAGGCGUUCCCUUCGGGGACGCAAUGACAGGUGGUGCAUGGUCGUCGUCAGCUCGUGUCGUGAGAUGUUGGGUUAAGUCCCGCAACGAGCGCAACCCUUGUUACUAGUUGCCAGCAUUAAGUUGGGCACUCUAGUGAGACUGCCGGUGACAAACCGGAGGGAGGUGGGGACGACGUCAGAUCAUCAUGCCCCUUAUGACCUGGGCUACACACGUGCUACAAUGGACGGUACAACGAGUCGCAAGCUCGCGAGAGUAAGCUAAUCUCUUAAAGCCGUUCUCAGUUCGGACUGUAGGCUGCAACUCGCCUACACGAAGUCGGAAUCGCUAGUAAUCGCGGAUCAGCAUGCCGCGGUGAAUACGUUCCCGGGCCUUGUACACACCGCCCGUCACACCAUGGGAGUUUGUAACGCCCAAAGUCGGUGGCCUAACCUUUAUGGAGGGAGCCGCCUAAGGCGGGACAGAUGACUGGGGUG